GACGAACGCUGGCGGCGUGCUUAACACAUGCAAGUCGAACGGAAAGGCCCUGCUUUUGUGGGGUGCUCGAGUGGCGAACGGGUGAGUAACACGUGAGUAACCUGCCCUUGACUUUGGGAUAACUUCAGGAAACUGGGGCUAAUACCGGAUAGGAGCUCCUGCUGCAUGGUGGGGGUUGGAAAGUUUCGGCGGUUGGGGAUGGACUCGCGGCUUAUCAGCUUGUUGGUGGGGUAGUGGCUUACCAAGGCUUUGACGGGUAGCCGGCCUGAGAGGGUGACCGGCCACAUUGGGACUGAGAUACGGCCCAGACUCCUACGGGAGGGAGCAGUGGGGAAUAUUGCACGAUGGGCGGAAGCCUGAUGCAGCAACGCCUCGUGCGGGAUGACGGCCUUCGGGUUGUAAACCGCUUUCGCCUGUGACGAAGCGUGAGUGACGGUAAUGGGUAAAGAAGCACCGGCUAACUACGUG
This 468-nucleotide ribosomal RNA is filed under the name uncultured bacterium. RNAcentral's name for it is "partial 16S ribosomal RNA". It matches the Rfam family "Bacterial small subunit ribosomal RNA", at positions 28 to 507 of the family's 1533-position model. The record is from RNAcentral.